UGCGUAGGCGGAUUAAUAAGUCAGUGGUGAAAUCUUUCGGCUCAACCGAGAAACUGCCAUUGAUACUGUUAAUCUUGAGUUCGGUUGAGGUAGGCGGAAUGUGUAACGUAGCGGUGAAAUGCUUAGAUAUUACACAGAACACCAAUUGCGUAGGCAGCUUACUAGACCGACACUGACGCUGAGGCACGAAAGCGUGGGGAGCGAACAGGAUUAGAUACCCUGGUAGUC
This 228-nucleotide ribosomal RNA is filed under the name uncultured bacterium. RNAcentral's name for it is "partial 16S ribosomal RNA". It matches the Rfam family "Bacterial small subunit ribosomal RNA", at positions 568 to 795 of the family's 1533-position model. The record is from RNAcentral.